RNAcentral lists this ribosomal RNA (497 nucleotides) under uncultured bacterium. RNAcentral's name for it is "partial 16S ribosomal RNA". It matches the Rfam family "Bacterial small subunit ribosomal RNA", at positions 28 to 507 of the family's 1533-position model. The record is from RNAcentral.
GACGAACGCUGGCGGCGUGCCUAAUACAUGCAAGUUGAGCGCUGAAGGUUGGUACUUGUACCAACUGGAUGAGCAGCGAACGGGUGAGUAACGCGUGGGGAAUCUGCCUUUGAGCGGGGGACAACAUCUGGAAACGAAUGCUAAUACCGCAUAAAAACUUUAAACACAAGUUUUAAGUUUGAAAGAUGCAAUUGCAUCACUCAAAGAUGAUCCCGCGUUGUAUUAGCUAGUUGGUGAGGUAAAGGCUCACCAAGGCGAUGAUACAUAGCCGACCUGAGAGGGUGGUCGGCCACAAUGGGACUGGGACAAGGCCCAAACUCCUACGGGAGGCAGCAGUAGGGAAUCUUCGGAAAUGGAGGAAAGUCUGGACGAGCAAAGCCGCGGGAGUGAAGAAGGUUGUCGGAUCGGAAAACUCUGUUGGUAGAGAAGAAAGUUGGUGAGAGUGGAAAGCUCAUCAAGUGACGGUAACUACCCAGAAAGGGACGGCUAACUACGUG